UGGUGCACUGAGCUGUGCAUUGCCUGGCUGCAUCUCAGCGGGUCACUCACGUUUUUGUUUGAUUUUUAGGCAGUCCUGACUAAUCUAAGCUCGGUGAACCCCACGCAGCUGAACGGAGCUUGCUUUGAGCAGCCUGUUCCCCUGAAGCACGGAGAUGUGUUAACCAUUAUUGAUCGUUCUUUCAGGUUUGAAUAUCCUCUGCAAUCAACACCAGAAAAGGGGCAUUCCAGGUCUUCAAAAGAUGAAACUCUGCAGGUUCUUCAUGUUCAGCAGGUGGCAGAAGUGGAAUUAUCGCACAAACAAACUCCAGGAGCUAAAAGUGUUGAUGCUUCAGAUAAUGCUGAGUGUGAAGAAAAAAAUACCAAUGAAAAUAAACAAACUCCAGAGAAAAAUCUUCCCGAAGCUUUCCCUGUCAAACUCCAAACACCCAAAUCUUCACAGAGAAUUCAUCGUG
RNAcentral lists this long non-coding RNA (454 nucleotides) under Lonchura striata (white-rumped munia). Its description in RNAcentral is "domestica (Bengalese finch) lncRNA (ENSLSDG00000008652.1)". Lineage: Eukaryota; Metazoa; Chordata; Aves; Passeriformes; Estrildidae. The record is from RNAcentral.